This 84-nucleotide transfer RNA is filed under the name Clostridiales bacterium. Its description in RNAcentral is "tRNA-Leu". It matches the Rfam family "tRNA". Rfam says of the family: Transfer RNA (tRNA) molecules are approximately 80 nucleotides in length. The record is from RNAcentral. Lineage: Bacteria; Bacillati; Bacillota; Clostridia; Eubacteriales.
GCGGUCAUGGCGGAAUUGGCAGACGCGUACGUUUGAGGGGCGUAUGGUUUUACCGUCCGGGUUCAAGUCCCGGUGACCGCACCA